This 395-nucleotide ribosomal RNA is filed under the name uncultured bacterium. Its description in RNAcentral is "bacterial SSU rRNA". It matches the Rfam family "Bacterial small subunit ribosomal RNA", at positions 30 to 428 of the family's 1533-position model. The record is from RNAcentral.
AUUGAACGCUGGCGGCAUGCCUUACACAUGCAAGUCGAACGGCAGCGGGCCUUCGGGUGCCGGCGAGUGGCGAACGGGUGAGUAAUGCAUCGGAACGUGCCAUUGAGUGGGGGGAUAACGUAGCGAAAGUUACGCUAAUACCGCAUAUUCUGUGAGCAGGAAAGCAGGGGACCGCAAGGCCUUGCGCUCUUUGAGCGGCCGAUGUCAGAUUAGCUAGUUGGUGAGGUAAAGGCUUACCAAGGCGACGAUCUGUAGCGGGUCUGAGAGGAUGAUCCGCCACACUGGAACUGAGACACGGUCCAGACUCCUACGGGAGGCAGCAGUGGGGAAUUUUGGACAAUGGGCGCAAGCCUGAUCCAGCCAUGCCGCGUGAGUGAAGAAGGCCUCGGUUGUAA